GACAGAGGUGCCGAGCGUUAGGCGGAAUCACUGGGCUUAAAGCGUGUGUAGGCGGGCGGGCAAGUACCUUGUGAAAUCCCACGGCUCAACCGUGGAACGGCUGGGUAUACUGCCUGGCUUGAGCCAACUAGGGGCGAGCGGAACAGACGGUGGAGCGGUGAAAUGCGUAGAUAUCGUCUGGAACGCCGAAGGUGAAAACAGCUCGCUGGGGUGGUGCUGACGCUGAGACACGAAAGCCAGGGGAGCGAACGGG
This 253-nucleotide ribosomal RNA is filed under the name uncultured bacterium. Its description in RNAcentral is "partial 16S ribosomal RNA". It matches the Rfam family "Bacterial small subunit ribosomal RNA", at positions 524 to 776 of the family's 1533-position model. The record is from RNAcentral.